Molecule: long non-coding RNA, 1646 nt
Filed under: Monodelphis domestica (gray short-tailed opossum)
Lineage: Eukaryota; Metazoa; Chordata; Mammalia; Didelphimorphia; Didelphidae
Description: lncRNA (ENSMODG00000050477.1)
Source: RNAcentral
AAAAUCCCGUCUAACCUCAGAGUUCUCCCCUCUGAGCGUGAUCUCAAAAACAGUUUUAAGGUCUCCCAUAGUAGAUGCCUUAUUGGGUCCAGUGAAGAUUCUGCCCCCCAGAAGCGAUAGUGAAAGAGUGGAGUUGAAGGGAAGCCAGGGAACACCUCCAGGCCCGGCACAGAGAUCCGCUCGGUUCUGAGGAGCUGAGCCAGGUCGGGGGCUUGAGGGCCAGUGGCGGGACUCUCCUGGGCGACCCACAAGAGAAAUCGAGCCUGUUUCCUCAGAACGUUUGCUACGAGAAUUAGUCUUGGAGAGGGGAUGGAGGCUUGGGAUAAGGACAGGCGGUCGUGCCUCCGGGGGGACGCCACAAACCUGAUGGCCGCUCAUUGCAGAUAAGAAGGAAGAAAAACGGAGGCAUUCCCGAUCCCGGUCGCGCUCCCGGAGGAGGAGGACGCCUUCAUCUUCCAGGCACAGACGGUCGAGAAGCCGAUCCAGAAGAAGAUCUCAUUUCCAAAUCGAGAAGUAGGCGACGAUCGAAGAGUCCGCGCGGGAGGAGGUCCCAUUCCCGCGAGCGGGGCCGGCGGUCCCGGAGCACGUCCAAGACCAGGUGGGGCUCGGCCAAGGACCUUCCCAGCAGGCCAUGCGCUCCUCCUGGGCCUGGGUAAGGAGGCUCCCCCUCCUUUUGGGGGGGGGGGGGGCGCGGCUGGGCCUUUCCCAGAUUCCGGCUUAUCACAGGCUCUUCUCACAGUUUGGGGUUUUUUAGAUCAUGGGGGGUGGGGGGGGCUGUGGAAUCCCCAAUUGACACCCUUGUGAUGGCCUACAGUGGGAAAACCCCGUUUAGAGCAACGUUUUUGUCUCCUCGUAAGAGAACUGGAGAGUUUUACGUUGUCUGUGUGCGUCGGCAGAACCUCUGAGCCUUGUUUUUACUCCCACCUCAGAGACAAAAAGAAAGAAGAGAAAGAGAAGAAGCGUUCGAAAACGCCACCCAAAAGCUACAGCACCGCCCGCCGGUCACGGAGCACCAGCCGGUGAGUGGCUCGACGUUGAUCCGGGGCUGGCGAGCGCCGCCCGCCUCCCCGAGGUGGGAGCACCACCAGGGCAGCCCCAAAGGGCAGCGGGGCCUCCUCCAAGAUGCUGCUGCGGAGCUCCUGCUGGUCCUGAAAACCAACCCAAGUGGGGCAGCCUUCGGCAGCCCAUCCCCCAUCCCCAUCAGACUGUUCCUGCAUCACAUGACCUCCGACUCCUCAGCUGCUUUUAUUUAAGCCAAGGGCUGUGAAUCGAGCUGGGGGGGGGGGGGGGCGGCUUUUAAUUUUGGGCAACCAAAUUUCCUCCUCCCCAAGGGAACCCCCGCCCCAACUGGGGGGGGCUGGGGGGGCUCCAGCCCUUGGCACAGGGAGGACCUGGAGGAACAUCGGGUCCACCCCCCACCUUUUUCCUUUCAAGGAAAAACCCCCCCCGAGGAAUUCCAACGGCCCCCCCUCCCCCAAAAAACCCCCCUCCCCCAAAAAAAAACUGUCCCCCUCCCCCCCUCCCCCGAAGUAAAUUCCCCCGCCGGGCGGGGGGGGGGGAAAUGGGGGGCGGGGGGGCCUCUUAACCUCGGGCCUCCCCGUGUCUUCGGCCCCUAAAAUGGUAAAAAAAAGAGAAGGGCCAGGGGC